Non-coding RNA from Delphinapterus leucas (beluga whale), 2203 nucleotides. Lineage: Eukaryota; Metazoa; Chordata; Mammalia; Artiodactyla; Monodontidae. The record is from RefSeq and is a predicted model, not a curated record.
CUCUUCCCAGCCCGCCCCCUCCGGAGGUCAAAAGCCUUGGUCAGUAGCCCUGUGGCCUGUGCGGUGAGCCCGGGGUCUCCAGGUCGGCCUUGGUUGUUCCGCUCGCCAGCUCGCUGCCCACAUGGCCCUGAGAGGCGUCUAUGGGUGGCUACUGAGCCGCGGACCCAGCCUGCGAGUCCUUCGUUCAUGGAGCUCGGCGGCGACGCAGACCGAAAAAGGCGGGAAGACCCAGAGCCGAUCUGCCAAGUCUUUGCGGCCCGAGUUUGACUGGAGGGACCCACUAUUGCUGGAGGAGCAGCUGACAGCAGAUGAGGUCCUCAUCAGGGACACCUUCCGCACCUACUGCCAGGAGCGCCUCAUGCCCCGCAUCCUGCUGGCCAAUCGCAACGAAGUUUUUCACCGGGAGAUCAUCUCAGAGAUGGGGGAGCUGGGUGUGCUGGGCCCCACCAUCAAAGGGUAUGGCUGUGCUGGAGUCUCAUCUGUGGCCUAUGGGCUCCUGGCCCGAGAGCUGGAGCGAGUGGACAGCGGCUACAGGUCAGCGAUGAGUGUCCAGUCCUCCCUUGUCAUGCACCCCAUCUACGCGUACGGCAGCGAGGAGCAGCAACAGAAGUACCUGCCCCGGCUGGCCAAGGGGGAGCUUCUGGGCUGCUUUGGGCUCACAGAGCCUAACCAUGGGAGUGACCCCGGCAGCAUGGAGACCAGAGCCCGCCAGAACCCGUCCGGCAGGAGCUACACCCUCAAUGGGGCCAAGACCUGGAUCACCAACUCACCUGUGGCCGACCUGUUCGUAGUGUGGGCUCGGUGCGAAGAUAGUUGCAUUCGGGGCUUCCUGUUGGAGAAGGGGAUGCGGGGCCUCUCGGCCCCCAAGAUUGAGGGAAAGUUCUCUCUGCGGGCCUCGGCCACGGGUAUGAUUAUCAUGGACGAUGUGGAAGUGCCAGAGGAGAAUGUGCUGCCCAAGGCGUCUGGUCUGGCGGGUCCCUUUGGCUGCCUAAACAAUGCCCGCUAUGGCAUCACCUGGGGUGUGCUUGGAGCUGCUGAGUUCUGUUUGCACACGGCCCGGCAGUACACCCUGGACAGGAUCCAGUUUGGUGUCCCACUGGCCAAGAACCAACUGAUUCAGAAGAAGCUGGCGGACAUGCUCACCGAGAUCACGCUGGGCCUUCAUGCCUGCCUGCAGCUCGGCCGCUUGAAGGAUCAAGACAAGGCCACCCCGGAAAUGAUCUCCCUACUGAAGAGGAAUAACUGUGGGAAGGCCCUGGACAUUGCCCGCCAGGCCCGAGACAUGCUGGGAGGGAAUGGGAUUUCUGAUGAGUAUCACGUGAUCCGGCAUGCCAUGAACCUGGAGGCCGUGAACACCUAUGAAGGCACUCAUGACAUCCAUGCUCUGAUCCUCGGAAGGGCAAUCACAGGGAUCCAGGCGUUCACAGCCAGCAAGUGAAGCCACUUCACCUGGGAGCCCGGAUGGUACCAAACCCCUUCCCAGGGAGAUACUGCGCUCUGAGCUCAGUCAGGGAGGUGGCAGAUGGAGCCAUUUCUUCUGGUGGGAAGUGAGAGACGCUGAUUUUUAAAUAUCAAAAUUUCCCUUUUGAAGUCAUUCAAAUGUGUUCCUUAAAAAGAAGAUGGGACUGUCUGUACUGAGUUUCUCAAUCCAGUUUUAACUGUGGAUGGGAACAGACUCCACUCACCUUGGAACAGAAGCUCCCUUUGACAGGGGAGCAGGGAGAGGGAAGGAGAGUGACAUGGAAGCAACUUGUGAGACCCACCUGGUGUCUGACUACGCAAACUAGCCCCUCCACACAGCAAGAGUUUACUCUGUGCCCUCUGACCCUCCCAUCUUAGGCUGCUACAACUCUCGUUCCUCUGGCGGCACCCAUGUGCAUGCGUGAGUUCAGUCCUACCUCAGGCUGGCUGCACAGGUCUUUGUACAUGGUCUCCACGCUGUGGCACACUUCUUUGAGUUCUGUUUCCAGCUUCUCUGUCAGGUCUGAAACCUUUGAAAGAAUAAGAUGUUCUUGGAAAGUCAAACAAGAGGCAUCACAAGACAUUUGUUCUAGCUGGCUCUUUAAGAUUUCUGCAAUUUAUCUUAUAAAAGUGGUAAAAACAACUCCUGUGACUGGAGGUGAAAUUGCCUAUAUGUUAAGUUUUUCUUUUUAAAAAGCAAGGUGCGAGAAUUCCCCGGUGGUCCAGUGGUAAAGAAUCCGCC